UUAGUCCUCCACGUUGUGCCAUACUCCACCAGAAGAGAGAUGGGAAACGGGAAGAUAGGAAGAGAGCGAUUCAAGGAGAAAGAGUUAAAGAGAUGAGAAAGUGACAAGGGAGGGUCCGGCCACGGUUGUUCCGCGACGGCGCCAUGGAGGGAACGCCAUUGUACAAUGAUGGUGACGACGUUCGACGGUGUAAUAGGUCACUGGUCUUCGUCAAAACAGUACCCAAGGUGGAUGGGAAGCACCAUUGAUGGAUUCUAUGGCUGUAACCGCCUUCCAGAUUUGCUCAUCUAGGAUCCCAUGUUCUUCUGCACAUCCUCCUCAAUUCAAAUGGUAUACAUUUCAUUUCCGAUCAUCAAGUUCAGGCUUCAAUUAAGCAAACAAAUUGCAAAUAGUAUGAUUGUAUGAGUUCCGAUGCAGGUUAGAGAUAUGAUAAUCCCUAAUUUCUUAAUUUCAGUCUGUUUGAUGAAUAUUGCUCAAAUUAGUUUGAUGAAACGGAAGCAAUUAAAGAUCUUGAUGAGUUAUGUGUAGUCGAUAAUAAGUAUCUUAAUUCAAAUGUUGAGAAAUCACUUCUUGUAGAACGGUCUCAAAUCUCUUUACAAAGGUUUAUUCAUGAUGUUUAAGUUUAUAUUUCUUUGCCUUAAUAGAUAAUAAUUGUGACCCGUUUAACCCAUAAAAACGAGGUUGAUUUGGGUAGCAUUUUGCCUCAAAAUGGUCCAAAGUUGUGAGAAUAUAUUAAGAAUGCAUGAUACCUUAAUUCGUUUUGCAUCAAACAUAAACAUUGGAUUUUGUUUGUACGAAUAUGGUUCUUUAACUAAUGGUACUAAAAAAACAUGAAGUUUCUUAUUCGGUUCAAAUUCCAGUUUGCAUUCCAGUUCGAUUUUGAAAACGUCAACCCAAACAACCUAUGUGAACAACCCGAUGAACACCCCAGGGACCCGUUUAAAAUAAAACAAAACUCAAAUCAUCCUCUUUAUGAGCAAAUGGGCCGAAAUUACUUCGUCAUAUUUCGUUUAAUUUGAAGAUAGCAUCAAGCUUAACCUUUGUCAUAGAUUGACUUUAGCUAACCGUAGAUCACUAGCUCAAUGUACACCAUCUUAUCAAUCUUGUAGACGUGUAUAAUUGUUUUGUACUUAUUAUGAUUGAAGCGCGAGUGUUGCAAAAUAUGAUGAACCAGUACCAAAACGAAUCUUACGAGUUAUAUCAGGUCUGGUGAUGGCAAUUUUACAUUCUUGAAAUAAUCUCAAUGUAUGUUGACUUUAACAUAUUUGAUUUUGUCAUAAGGCAAAGACCUGUGCAUUUAUGUAUAUAUGUUUUUCAUUUGUGUUUCUAUAGGAAAUAUAACAAUAAUAUAUUCUGCAGAUUUAAUUUUACAAGUGAGGGAAAUUGUUCUACUUGAGACAAAAGAGGGGUAUUUUUAAGGGUUGGGCGAGCAAAUUAUUUCCUAGACCUGGCAAACGGGUUGGUUCGGGUCGGGUCGGGUCAUGGGUCAAAACGGGUUCGGGUCAAAACGGGUCGGGUCAAAACGGGUCAAUUACAAAAAAGGGUUGUUUUGGUUCGGGUCGGAACGGGUUCGGGUCGGAACGGGUUCGGGUCAGAACGGGUUCGGGUUGAAAUGGGUCCGGGUCAGAACGGGUUUCGGGUCGGAUCGGGUCGGAUUGGUUAAAAAUUGCUUUCUUUCACGUCUAAGCUAAGAGUAUUAUUUCAUUUGCCGUUCAAGUGAAAAAAGUAUUAUUUAUUUAUUUUAAGUAUUUAUAUGUAUUUCAAAUUCCAAGUUAGAAGUUAGAUAAAAAUCAAUAAGCAUAUAAACAUUUACUUGCAAUCCCAAACACUCGCAAGAGUGAUGUUGUACAUUGCCUUCACGAUCUUCUACAUCCAUAAAUAAGUUUGCAGAAUUUUCAUUUCGUGAUUUUCCAACACGAAUUGCUUGAUACACAAAUAAUUAAAAUUGCCUUCUUUGAUCUCUCAGUCGCCCUCUUUGUCUCCAUUACAGAAAGCUAGAGAGAAAUCUAAUUAACAAAAAUACAUACCUAUAUAAACUUAAGUUCGAUCAAUCUACAUGAUCUGCAUUAAUUCACAUAUACAUUAUCAGUUGAUGCUAAUAUCCACGCCAACAGCGAUGCAUUUACCAGCCUUUACUUAGCCAUUCAAUCCGAUUUGGAUCAAGCGCGGGAGAAAUCGGAGGUUGUUGCGGCCGAGAAAAACAGGGCGACAACGGUUGCUCUUAAUGCCGAAAUCCGACGGACUAAAGCUUGGGUCGAAACGGUUUGAUUGGAAACGGUUCGCAUCGAAACGCUACGGGUCGAAACGGACUAAAAUCUAGCGAAUCACUGGAGGUUUUUAAGACUAAAGUUCUAUCAAAGGUAGACUGAACCUUUGCGUUUUUUUUUUUUUUUUUUUUCUAAUAUAAGGUAGACAUCCAAAAUGGUAUCCACACUUAAACUAGGCAAACUUGGUGCACCAGGCAACUUCUUGAAUAUAGGGACUGACUUCAAGUAUUUAACAUUAUUCAAAUAAAUGUUAUAUUAUAAAUGUAAAAAUGAUUAUUUUUGGUCCACUCUACAAAUCUCAAGAAUGAUGUAUUAUGUACAUAUACUUUUAGUGAAU
Helianthus annuus (common sunflower) is the source of this 2604-nucleotide long non-coding RNA. RefSeq lists it as uncharacterized. The transcript has 3 exons. NCBI's taxonomy places the organism in Eukaryota, Viridiplantae, Streptophyta, Magnoliopsida, Asterales, Asteraceae. The record is from RefSeq and is a predicted model, not a curated record.